This is a long non-coding RNA of Columba livia (rock pigeon), 3221 nucleotides long. RefSeq lists it as uncharacterized. The record is from RefSeq and is a predicted model, not a curated record. The transcript is spliced from 2 exons. Lineage: Eukaryota; Metazoa; Chordata; Aves; Columbiformes; Columbidae.
GCUGCCAUCCCGAACUCUAAGAACUAUUUUAGGAGUGAACUCAGUGACUCAUAUCCAGGAGACUCAAAAGCAUCCAGUCUUUCAGGGCAAAUUUCAAUUUAUAAGGGGGUGUGUGUGUGUGAAAAGUUCAAAACUAAUGACUAUUAGAAAGGGCAGCCAGGCCUGGCAGUGCAGCAGGGGUGAAAUGACCUGCGGGAGAGGAGCAAUUAAGUGGCAAGCCAGUUAGGGUAGGCCCAGUUCAAAAUCUUCAAAAGAAAACUAAACUUCAGUUUCAGUUUUCAGCAAACGAGUGCUCGGUACGGCGCACGAUGGACUUGGAAAGGAUCUGUUCCUGGCUUUUUUAAUCAGCAGCUGAAAGGGUAAGUGCAUGGCUAAUCUCCCACACUUGCCACUUGUAGAAACAUAUUUUCAAUUUGUAUGCAGCAGCCCAUGAUAGGGGGGCAGCCCAAGACAAAAAGCACAUGCGGUGCCUUUCACGCGUGUUAGCCUGAAUUAUAAACAGCAGGCCAAAAUCUCAAAUGGUAAAAACAGGGGUUGCCCAGCUGGAGUAAAUGUGCUCACAAGAGCUGAAGAAGGAGCUCAGUAAAUUUGUGCACAAGAAUGGUUUUUGCUUAAAUUAAUCUUUAAUUCUUUGUAUGAAUUACACUCAUUUCUGCAACUGCAAUGAAUCUUAGUGCUGUACAACAGCAGGCUGCUCUCCAAAAUACUCCGAGACUACUAGCAGUGCUCAGCCUCUCCUCACACUUGUCUUGACCUCUUUCCCUAUAACACUGAAAAAACACCAGAUGAAUAAUUACAGUCCAGGACACGGCAGCAGAAACCUGUUACUUAACUUUUACAUUUGAACACCUGUUUGUCUUAUUUCUACAUAUAAUCCCCUGAAACCUGUGUCAGUGAAAAUGGGAGCAAAGGUGUCUUUGGAGAGAAGAGGCCUGAGGAAUUAAUUCAUUUUGAAUUACCUGUGUAAAUGUACAAGCUGCACUGCUGCCGGAUCAAGGGAUCUCAGUGCAGAACUCGACUCAACGGUGGCUUCCUUUCCCCUCCCUUUGGCAAAGCUUCAGACCGAAAGGUCACUUGAAACGCAGUAACGCCGCUUGGCACACUCAGAGAGUCGUUUCGUACCUACGUUUCGAAGCUGUUUGCUCAGGCUGGUUAGUCCCAGCUUAACGCACGGCUCCGAGCUGCCUCCAGACACGGUUUAUCAAGAGGAAGGUCUUGAUCCCCCUUCUCCUCCCAUCUAGUGACUCAUGGGACCACUGUACCCAAGGAGACCUUCCUCCUUGCACCAGACCCGACAACCUCUGUUAGAAACACACCAGAGAAAACACUUCCAGCCACAUCGUGUCCUGCUUUCUCUGCUACUCCUUUGCAAGUAUCACUACGGCCUCUCUCAACAACCCCUCCUGUACUCGUGAUAUUAAAUCCAUCAGUAAAAUGAGGACAAACAAAGUGGUGUUUCUACAGAUACUUCGUUUCCAAACUUUGUCUUUGAUGAAGAAGCCGGCGACACAACAGUCCAUGAGAACAGUGCGCAAGUGUUUUUCUACACUUAAAUCCAAAAAUAAAACCUCUCCUGGCUUUAAUGCACAAUUCUUCAAUAGGAAUCCAUACACCUUUCAGUUUUGCAACGAGAUGGAAACAGAUGAGAAGCGCCGACAUGAGCAACAUCUCUUGGAUCUUCCCUUCUGCCAGUUACCCACCGAACAAAACCGUGACCGACGGCCCAGAACAGCCGCCACAAAGCAGUGGUAAUAAGUGAAGGGGAUCACAAGUGUGAGAGGAAUUAACAUCUUUUUCAAAUCUGCUCGAUGCUGCAUGAAGGAAGCAAAUUUUGCAGGAAAUUUAAGGCUUCUGGUCAAGAGGGAACUUUCUGUUGAACAAUCAGUUCAGAAACAGGAUUCAGCAUCAGUGUUUGAAAUGCAGCUGGAGAGGGUUUAACAUAAACCAAAUGACAAAUUACACACGUAUAAUCGGAAUGAUUAGUGUAAUGUGAAAACAGCUUGAGAAUUAAUGGGGAAAAAACGCAAAGCAAAAUAAAACCUAAUUAAAAUACAGUACUGUAAUGACUACACACUCACAUGCUUCGUUCUGGCUGCCUAUAAAUCAGCGACAUAUUAGGGAGGAACUCAAGCAUUUCUAUAAAAUUGUUAAUUCUUUCUUCAAGUCACUAAGGGAAAAAAAUAAUAUUGGUGAAAAUGUGAUUCUCAGGAGAAAACUGAUGACAGAUUCUUUGUUUAGGCCUGGGGUUUGUUUUUAAAGACAACGGUCUCCAUAUAACCAUCUAUAUGCAUUUAUUAAAACAACAACAACAAAGACUGGGGUAAAUAUAUACAAAAAUAGCCCCAUCAGGUCACAGAGCACCUCCAUGGCUGCAAAUUUAAACUGGAAUCUGAUUAGAUUCCAAGGGUGAAAUACCAGGAUGAGGGACUACUGGUAUUUAUACAGAAAAUCCUGAUCAGGUGGAUUUUUAUUUCUGUGUCUGUAAUCUCAAACAACUAUCUGGCUCGUUUUGUGUUUUACAUAAAACCCAAACCUUGCUUCAGGGACUAAAUUAAAUUCAUUUUUUGGUUUUUAAAUGGCCUCUAAACACACACGCAAUCAUCUGCGUCACUCAGCGCUACUUGGAUGCAACUGUAUUUAGACAGCUGACAAGAAAGUGGGGACUGAAGAUAAAGGAGGAUGUGGCAAGGAAGAGGACAAGAAUAGCAUCCAAGUAGUAAACCGAGAGUUAAAUACAUUGAAAUGGAAUGAUCAAUAUAUGCUAGCGGUAAUUAAAAGCCUGAUAAGGAAUAUAUGGAACUGUUGAUCUGAGAUCCACUUCAUAUUAAUCCUAAAAAACAUUAAUGAAACCAGAUUAUAUUCGCAAUUGAUCUGCCUCUGUUACUCUGAAGAAAGUCUGCUCACCACAGGAGAAAAAAAGGACUUAGUGCACACACUUCCUCAGCAUCAACGGGGGAAUUGUUACAACAGAAACGGGACCAAAAUCCAGCGGGCACAGCUGUGUGUCUCUUUAAAGCGCCAACUCUUUUAUGUCACCUGCCAACCAGGCAAAGCAGGACUUUGCAGAAGGGCCACAAAGAGCACGACUCAAGUCAAAAAGAAUACUUUAACUGACCUACCAGAAGCCUUAAGAAGAGCUAAAUAUUAAAAAAAUUGCUUUAAGGCAUCCUCAGCACUAACAAUUGAUAGCACUGAAUGUAAUAAAAACACUUGCUAAAAGA